This 250-nucleotide unclassified non-coding RNA is filed under the name plant metagenome. RNAcentral's name for it is "partial contains small subunit ribosomal RNA, internal transcribed spacer 1, and 5.8S ribosomal RNA". The record is from RNAcentral.
GUAGGUGAACCUGCGGAAGGAUCAUUAACACCUGAUUCAAUACCCACCUCCGCGCAACGUGAUUGUCCCAUCCUCACAUCAUUUUUAACCACAAAAACACAAACCUUGCUGAACAAAAACAAAAGGGAGCGUCGUAAUGGCGGUCUCGAACAAAAAACAAACGCAAACAACUCUUAACUAUGGAUAUCUUGGCUUCCGCAUCGAUGAAGAACGCAGCAUCUGACUGACUAAGAUUCGGCGCAUCUCGUAU